RNAcentral lists this long non-coding RNA (353 nucleotides) under Gallus gallus (chicken). The record is from RNAcentral. Lineage: Eukaryota; Metazoa; Chordata; Aves; Galliformes; Phasianidae.
GAUAUCACAGUUAUUUGUGGCUAACAAAGUAGCCAAGUCUUUUACAUCUGUUCGUAGAUUCUCAGCCAAACACAGUGCUUGCAGAUAGCUAGCAGCAUUUAUCAAGGAAGGAGUUUGGAAGUUGAUUUCUUCAAAAUAGCCAUCAAACAUUAAGCUAAACGUUGGAUCAUUGGUAGUAAGAAUUACAGGUCUCUUUGCAGUUGCCAUGAACGUCUUUAUUGCACUUAGAAAUCCUGCAUCUUCAUCAAAUAUUAUAUCUACCUCUUCAAAAAGUAUGAGAGAUGUUGCACUUUUUCUGUUAUGUUCUCCAUCUUCUAUUUCUUUGCUUAUUGACUUAAUUUGAACGUUUUUUU